Molecule: ribosomal RNA, 553 nt
Filed under: Trichoderma sp. INBio3018F
Lineage: Eukaryota; Fungi; Ascomycota; Sordariomycetes; Hypocreales; Hypocreaceae
Description: eukaryotic LSU rRNA
Rfam family: 5.8S ribosomal RNA (bases 214-367)
Source: RNAcentral
GGAGGGAUCAUUACCGAGUUUACAACUCCCAAACCCAAUGUGAACGUUACCAAACUGUUGCCUCGGCGGGAUCUCUGCCCCGGGUGCGUCGCAGCCCCGGACCAAGGCGCCCGCCGGAGGACCAACCAAAACUCUUAUUGUAUACCCCCUCGCGGGUUUUUUACUAUCUGAGCCAUCUCGGCGCCCCUCGUGGGCGUUUCGAAAAUGAAUCAAAACUUUCAACAACGGAUCUCUUGGUUCUGGCAUCGAUGAAGAACGCAGCGAAAUGCGAUAAGUAAUGUGAAUUGCAGAAUUCAGUGAAUCAUCGAAUCUUUGAACGCACAUUGCGCCCGCCAGUAUUCUGGCGGGCAUGCCUGUCCGAGCGUCAUUUCAACCCUCGAACCCCUCCGGGGGGUCGGCGUUGGGGAUCGGCCCUUUACGGGGCCGGCCCCGAAAUACAGUGGCGGUCUCGCCGCAGCCUCUCCUGCGCAGUAGUUUGCACACUCGCAUCGGGAGCGCGGCGCGUCCACAGCCGUUAAACACCCCAAACUUCUGAAAUGUGACCUCGAUCAGG